RNAcentral lists this ribosomal RNA (502 nucleotides) under uncultured Glomeromycotina. Its description in RNAcentral is "partial small subunit ribosomal RNA". It matches the Rfam family "Eukaryotic small subunit ribosomal RNA", at positions 591 to 1092 of the family's 1831-position model. Lineage: Eukaryota; Fungi; Glomeromycota. The record is from RNAcentral.
CCAAUAGCGUAUAUUAAAGUUGUUGCAGUUAAAAAGCUCGUAGUUGAACUUCGGGGUUUGCUCAUUGGUCAGGCUUAAUUGUCUGUACUGGUGAGAUAAAUCUCUACCUUCUGAGGAACUUUCAUGCCAUUUAUUUGGUGUGAUGGGAAAUCAGGACUGUUACUUUGAAAAAAUUAGAGUGUUUAAAGCAGACUAACGUCUGAAUACAUUAGCAUGGAAUAAUGAAAUAGGACGGACUGAUUCUAUUUCGUUGGUUUCUAGGAUCACCGUAAUGAUUAAUAGGGAUAGUUGGGGGCAUUAGUAUUCAAUUGUCAGAGGUGAAAUUCUUGGAUUUAUUGAAGACUAACUACUGCGAAAGCAUUUGCCAAGGAUGUUUUCAUUAAUCAAGAACGAAAGUUAGGGGAUCGAAGACGAUCAGAUACCGUCGUAGUCUUAACCAUAAACUAUGCCGACUAGGGAUCGGACGAAGUUAAUUUUAUAAUGACGCGUUCGGCACCUUACG